CACUGGGGUCUGGAAGAAACGGGGGGCUUAGCAAAUCCAGAGAUACUACGGGGAGCUGUGUGCUGGCUCCCAGCCCCCUCCCUCUUAACCUGCAAGAUCCCACUGCAAGCUUCAGAUGCAGUCGGUGCCUCAAACACCGUGAUGACACGCGCAGGCUCUGAGCCUAGCACCUAAGCUUGCACUGUAGCCAUAAGUGAUAGCACAAAAAGGGAGCAUCAAGCCUGUGGUUCCCACCUAGGCGACCCCUUCCAAGUCCACGUGGGAGCUCGUUUAGUUCCAUUAAGAAAAAAAGGUCAUUGAAACAAAGAAAUGUGAAUAAAACCAAGCGAAGAACCCCUAUUGCAAUACUAAAAGAGUAACCUUGAACAAGCCGUGGGCAGGAAACCGCCCUCUGACAGUCUGGGGCCCUCUCCUGAGUCUGCCCAGCUGGUGGGAAUCUGCAUUAUGUUGUGGGGGUAACGAGGUAGGCACUGAAAUGGUUAUUCUUGUGCUUCUCGGGCAUGAUAAUAAAAGUUUGGGCUGUCCAUUUGUCUCUUGCCUCUUUUCUGUGUUGUGAGCAUUAAGGAAACCAUAACUGUACCUUACUUUUGUGUUUCAAGGGUUGACAGAGUAGGACAAUGCCAUGUUGUAUGUCCCAGCCUGCACGGAGGAGCCCCAGUUGACAGCUGCGGUGGGAUGAGGAAGAGGAUGCAGAAGAAAGGUCAGUAGGUCCCACACCUACAUCCCUCCUAGUGGGAGAGCACAUCUGGAGCAGUGAAUGGAAAGACCCACCCCACAGGGAGAGAGAAAGGGGCUGGGAGGCACCUCCUCACCUGGCUUCUUAUAGCUGACAUAGGCCACGCUGACCAGGAU
Long non-coding RNA from Alligator mississippiensis (American alligator), 852 nucleotides. RefSeq lists it as uncharacterized. Lineage: Eukaryota; Metazoa; Chordata; Crocodylia; Alligatoridae. The record is from RefSeq and is a predicted model, not a curated record. The transcript is spliced from 3 exons.